Molecule: long non-coding RNA, 727 nt
Filed under: Cricetulus griseus (Chinese hamster)
Lineage: Eukaryota; Metazoa; Chordata; Mammalia; Rodentia; Cricetidae
Description: lncRNA (ENSCGRG00015040507.1)
Source: RNAcentral
GGUUGCUCAUGACUGUAGUACCAGCAAUCCAGAAACCAAGGCAGGAGAAUUGCGAUGAAUUGCAGGCCAUCCUGGGUUACACAGGGUCAUGCAUUGCAGGCUUGUCUCAAACUCUCUAUGCAAAUGAGGAUGACCUUGAACUUCUUAUUCUCCUUCCUUUGCUUCCCAACGCUGGGAUCCCAGGCUUCAGCAUGGCAAGAAGGUGUUGGCGGCAGUGGAAGGAUGGCCGAGCUUCUCCCAUGGUGGUGAAUCAGGAAGCAGAGAUCAAGGCUGGAACAUCAGCAGGGCUCUAACCUUCAAAGGGCUGCUGAGAUGACCUGAAGAGCUGAUUCAAACUCCAGAAUCUACAAGGUGGAAGUUGAAAAUCGACUCCCCAGAGUUGUCCUCUGGACUCCACACACACACACACACACACACACACACACACACACACACACACACACACCUAAUAAACACAUACUUGUUUUUUAAAAAAUGCAAUUUCAAUUUCUGUAGCGUCUGCUUUUCCUUGCCUUCUCAGCUCAGUGACUGGCGCUGUGCUGGUGGAGGCUGACUGAAACCCACCUUCCUCUCUCAUAUCAUCCCAAGUUCACACUCCCGCUGAUUUACUUAUGUUCUGUACCAAACAAGCUCAAAUAAUUUCCUUCAGGGCUUCAGGUUGAUUUUUCUCCUAGGUCUCUCCCUCCCUCCUUUCAUCGUUCUAUCCCUCUCUUCUUUCUCUCUCUUC